Molecule: ribosomal RNA, 126 nt
Filed under: uncultured bacterium
Lineage: Bacteria
Description: partial 16S ribosomal RNA
Source: RNAcentral
GGUUACCCCAUUCCAUCUUCCCUCCCGAAAGGGGUUUACAAUCCGAAGACCUUCAUCCCCCACGCGGCGUCGCUGCGUCAGGCUUUCGCCCAUUGCGCAAUAUUCCUUACUGCUGCCUCCCGUAGG